This 86-nucleotide transfer RNA is filed under the name Clostridiales bacterium. RNAcentral's name for it is "tRNA-Leu". It matches the Rfam family "tRNA". Rfam says of the family: Transfer RNA (tRNA) molecules are approximately 80 nucleotides in length. Their secondary structure includes four short double-helical elements and three loops (D, anti-codon, and T loops). Further hydrogen bonds mediate the characteristic L-shaped molecular structure. tRNAs have two regions of fundamental functional importance: the anti-codon, which is responsible for specific mRNA codon recognition, and the 3' end, to which the tRNAs corresponding amino acid is attached (by aminoacyl-tRNA synthetases). tRNAs cope with the degeneracy of the genetic code in two manners: having more than one tRNA (with a specific anti-codon) for a particular amino acid; and 'wobble' base-pairing, i.e. permitting non-standard base-pairing at the 3rd anti-codon position. The record is from RNAcentral. Lineage: Bacteria; Bacillati; Bacillota; Clostridia; Eubacteriales.
GCCGGGGUGGCGGAACGGCAGACGCGGGGGACUUAAAAUCCCUUACCCUUCGGGGUGUGCGGGUUCGAAUCCCGCCCCCGGCACCA